Molecule: ribosomal RNA, 674 nt
Filed under: Sarcocystis cruzi
Lineage: Eukaryota; Apicomplexa; Conoidasida; Eucoccidiorida; Sarcocystidae
Description: SSU rRNA
Rfam family: Eukaryotic small subunit ribosomal RNA
Source: RNAcentral
CGCAAAUUACCCAAUCCUGACUCAGGGAGGUAGUGACAAGAAAUAACAACACUGGAAAUUUUAUUUCUAGUGAUUGGAAUGAUGGGAAUUUAAACCCCUUUCAGAGUAACAAUUGGAGGGCAAGUCUGGUGCCAGCAGCCGCGGUAAUUCCAGCUCCAAUAGCGUAUAUUAAAGUUGUUGCAGUUAAAAAGCUCGUAGUUGGAUGUCUGCUGGAAGCAAUCAGUCCGCCCUAUUUGUAGGGUGUGCACUUGAUGAAUUCUGGCAUCUAUAUCCCAAUAAUAUGAUGGUGUAUACCCUGUGUACACCCAUCUAUAUUGGGAUAAUACCGUUACUUUGAGAAAAUUAGAGUGUUUGAAGCAGGCUAAUUGCCUUGAAUACUGCAGCAUGGAAUAACAAUAUAGGAUUUCGGUUCUAUUUUGUUGGUUUCUAGGACUGAAAUAAUGAUUAAUAGGGACAGUUGGGGGCAUUCGUAUUUAACUGUCAGAGGUGAAAUUCUUAGAUUUGUUAAAGACGAACUACUGCGAAAGCAUUUGCCAAAGAUGUUUUCAUUAAUCAAGAACGAAAGUUAGGGGCUCGAAGACGAUCAGAUACCGUCGUAGUCUUAACCAUAAACUAUGCCGACUAGAGAUAGGAAAAUGUCAUUUUUCUGAGUUCUCCUGCACCUUAUGAGAAAU